RNAcentral lists this ribosomal RNA (864 nucleotides) under uncultured archaeon. Its description in RNAcentral is "bacterial SSU rRNA". It matches the Rfam family "Archaeal small subunit ribosomal RNA", at positions 474 to 1337 of the family's 1478-position model. The record is from RNAcentral.
AACCAGCACCUCAAGUGGUCAGGAUGAUUAUUGGGCCUAAAGCAUCCGUAGCCGGCUCUGUAAGUUUUCGGUUAAAUCUGUACGCUUAACGUACAGGCUGCCGGGAAUACUGCAGAACUAGGGAGUGGGAGAGGUAGACGGUACUCGGGAGGAAGUGGUAAAAUGCUUUGAUCUCUCGAUGACCGCCUGUGGCGAAGGCGGUCUACCAGAACACGUCCGACGGUGAGGGAUGAAAGCUGGGGGAGCAAACCGGAUUAGAUACCCGGGUAGUCCCAGCUGUAAACUAUGCAAACUCAGUGAUGCAUUGACUUGUGGUCAAUGCAGUGCUGCAGGGAAGCCGUUAAGUUUGCCGCCUGGGAAGUACGUACGCAAGUAUGAAACUUAAAGGAAUUGGCGGGGGAGCACCACAAGGGGUGAAGCCUGCGGUUCAAUUGGAGUCAACGCCAGAAAUCUUACCCGGAGAGACAGCAGAAUGAAGGUCAAGCUGAAGACUUUACCAGACAAGCUGAGAGGUGGUGCAUGGCCGUCGCCAGCUCGUGCCGUGAGAUGUCCUGUUAAGUCAGGUAACGAGCGAGAUCCCUGCCUCUAGUUGCCACCAUUACUCUCAGGAGUAGUGGGGCGAAUUAGCGGGACCGCCGCAGUUAAUGCGGAGGAAGGAAGGGGCCACGGCAGGUCAGUAUGCCCCGAAACUCUGGGGCCACACGCGGGCUGCAAUGGUAACGACAAUGGGUUUCAAAUCCGAAAGGAUGAGGUAAUCCUCAAACGUUACCACAGUUAUGACUGAGGGCUGCAACUCGCCCUCACGAAUAUGGAAUCCCUAGUAACUGCGUGUCAUUAUCGCGCGGUGAAUACGUCCCUGCUCCU